Molecule: ribosomal RNA, 497 nt
Filed under: uncultured bacterium
Lineage: Bacteria
Description: partial 16S ribosomal RNA
Rfam family: Bacterial small subunit ribosomal RNA
Source: RNAcentral
GAUGAACGCUGGCGGCGUGCCUAAUACAUGCAAGUCGAGCGAACAGACGCGUUGCUUGCUCCUCUGACGUUAGCGGCGGACGUAACAGUUACAUAUGCUGCACCUACCUAUAGGACUAGGCUAACUUCGUGAAACCGGAGCUAAUUCCGUAUUCUUUCUUGAACCGCAUGGUUCAAUAGUUCAAGCCGGUUUUGCUGUCAUUUCUAGAUGUAUCCGCGCCGCUUUGGCUAGUUGGUAAGGUAACGGCUUACCAAGGCGACGCUGCGUAGCCGACCUGAGAGGGUGAAGGGCCACACUGGAACUGAGACACGGUACAGACUCCGACGGGAGGCAGAAGUAGGGAAUGUUCGGAGAUGGGCGAAAGACUGACGGAGCAGCGCAGGGUGAGUGAUGAAGGUCUUCGUGUCGUAAAACGCUGUUAUGGGGGAAGAACAAAUGUGUAAGGAACUAUGCACGUCGUGACGGUACCUAAACAGAAAGCCACGGCUAACUACGUG